AAAUCAAACUAACACUAGUCCAAAACCAACCUUAGCAAUGAGACCAUGGGGCAAGUUUAGCGUCUGCAAGAUCCUUAGAAAUGUUUGAAAAUCAAGUUUAGCGUCUCCAAGAUCCUUAUUUUGCUGCAUUUAAAACAACGAACAUGAAUCAUGGAUACGCAGAUAAGGCAUCCAAACAAUUUAUGAGAUUUUCAGCAUUCAUCGGACAAGGAAUACUUAAGGAA
This 224-nucleotide long non-coding RNA is filed under the name Linum usitatissimum (flax). Its description in RNAcentral is "long non-coding RNA (LUSI_LNC000275)". Lineage: Eukaryota; Viridiplantae; Streptophyta; Magnoliopsida; Malpighiales; Linaceae. The record is from RNAcentral.